GGAGUCCUACGGGGGGCAGCAGUAGGGAAUCUUCCACAAUGGGCGAAAGCCUGAUGGAGCAACGCCGCGUGGGUGAAGAAGGUCUUCGGAUCGUAAAACCCUGUUGUUAGAGAAGAAAGUGCGUGAGAGUAACUGUUCACGUUUCGACGGUAUCUAACCAGAAAGCCACGGCUAACUACGUGCCAGCAGCCGCGGUAAUACGUAGGCGGCAAGCGUUAUCCGGAUUAUUUGGC
This 233-nucleotide ribosomal RNA is filed under the name uncultured bacterium. RNAcentral describes it as "partial 16S ribosomal RNA". It matches the Rfam family "Bacterial small subunit ribosomal RNA", at positions 333 to 558 of the family's 1533-position model. The record is from RNAcentral.